GUUUACAACUCCCAAACCCCUGUGAACAUACCAACUGUUGCCUCGGCGGAUCAGCCCGCUCCCGGUAAAACGGGACGGCCCGCCAGAGGACCCCUAAACUCUGUUUCUAUAUGUAACUUCUGAGUAAAACCAUAAAUAAAUCAAAACUUUCAACAACGGAUCUCUUGGUUCUGGCAUCGAUGAAGAACGCAGCAAAAUGCGAUAAGUAAUGUGAAUUGCAGAAUUCAGUGAAUCAUCGAAUCUUUGAACGCACAUUGCGCCCGCCAGUAUUCUGGCGGGCAUGCCUGUUCGAGCGUCAUUUCAACCCUCAAGCCCAGCUUGGUGUUGGGACUCGCGAGUCAAAUCGCGUUCCCCAAAUUGAUUGGCGGUCACGUCGAGCUUCCAUAGCGUAGUAGUAAAACCCUCGUUACUGGUAAUCGUCGCGGCCACGCCGUUAAACCCCAACUUCUGAAUGUUGACCUCGGAUCAGGUAGGAAUAC
Molecule: ribosomal RNA, 479 nt
Filed under: fungal sp. E14904A
Lineage: Eukaryota; Fungi
Description: eukaryotic LSU rRNA
Rfam family: 5.8S ribosomal RNA (bases 145-298)
Source: RNAcentral